AGAUACCUACUCAGGGGACUUGAAACGUGUUUCACUCCGAUACUGCCCUGUAAGGUGUGGGUGCCGUCCUGUUUCUAAUGCUCACCAGCACGUUUCCUAUGAUGUAUUUUUUGAAUUACUGUUUAGUCUGAAGCUAACAAACUUCAUGAUCACUCCAUAAGUUCAAUCCAGGGUUGGCACAGGCAGUUCAGCCACAGAGCCUUCACCCCAGCCCAGCAUGAGGUCCGGACAAGAGGCCAGAACCUGCAGAGUAGCAAUGGUGAGAACCCGCAUCCGCCUGGGCUCCAUCUGCCUGAGCUCCAGCAUACUCACCAGCUCUUUCCCGCUAAAACUGACAGCUCUCACAGAAACUAUCUUUAGCAUUGGGAACAAUGUGAACAAAGCUAAACUGUGAGUAAAACAAGCCGUCUAUGUGUGAGCCUCCACUACCAACCAGCGUUCCACACAGAGUAAGACAAGCUGUCCACGUGUGAGCCUCCACUAAAACCAGCAUUCCGCACAGAGUAAGCAUUUGGCUAGUACAGGUCUGCCGUCAGCAGCCUGCACGGCAGGAACACUGGUGGUCGCUAGGACUGGAAAUGGCCGUCUUUGCACUUACCCUUUCAAGUCUGCAAACACAAGGAGCUGCAGUAAGGAAACAGCACUCUGUGGCAGGCUGACUCCCCACGAACCCUGCUGUACCGAGGAGUAACCCUUCUUAGACAUCUCGCUGUCUGUCCCCUUCCAUGUAGCCUGUCCUGCUCUGGGUCCUGUCUGUGUAUGGGCUUCCAAGACAUGUCCAACGCGUAGGAAAUAAACUGACAUGCUCUCCUGUUGACCAUUUAUGUCCCUUUAUCGCAUGGGCCCAGCUAGGACUCUAGGAUGGAAGUGGAACACUGCACCCCUACAUGGGCAGGGGCAGCAGUGCUUCAGAUGGUGUAGCGUCUUCUAAUAGGUGAAGAAGGCAAGGGCUACUUGGGUAGAUGUGAGGUCCUGCUCAGAUCACCACUGUGUUCAGUUGGAUUCAGCUAACUCACCCAGCCUUACUCAGUCAGUCAGAGCCAGGUUCGGCAUGGCUGGUGUAGCACAAGGUGAGAGGGUCACCAUUACAGCUGACCUGAUUUCCAGGGGUCUCUAAGGCUAUCACAGAGCACAUCUCGCUUAGCUUGGCUAAGAUCGACUUUAAUCCUGAAUUUAUUUUUUUUAAAAAGUUGCAUUUACAUGGUUCUAAUAAAAACAAAUACGCAUUUAUGAACUCAUUUCAAAUAAAACAAGCAAGGUCAGCUCAUCAGCAAAAAUACUUUAAAAUACAAUGAAAGAUGACAUCUUCCCUUCCUAAGUGUCUACUCGAGCUAAACAUCAACAUGAAAAGACAAUUACCUGUGUAAUAUGAUGAACAAUUAAUAAAAACUCAAAUAGAGAAAUUGGGGUUCAACCUGAAGAUCCGCAAAGCAAAACAGUCAGCCACUGGCUCUUACCACGACCUCAGUCUGAAAUGGCGAUCCUGCCUCCAGGAAUCUUAGCAGGAGACUGUAUCUGAGAACUGUGUCCUCCUGUUUUAUAAUCCUCUCUAGGCCUGGGGUUAAAGGCAUGCACUGCCUGGUUUCCAUGGCAACUAGUGUGACUACUGGUAUUAAAGGUGUGUGUCACCACUGCCUGGUCUGUAAGGCUGACCAGUGGGGCUGUUUUACUUUCCCGAUCCCCAGGCGAGCUUUAUUAAAAUACAAUGGAAAUGCCACUACAGUAAUAUGCCACCUAUAAAGAAAUACAACUCUAGUAGGAAGGGGAUUUGUGUCCGAUCAGUUGAGGCCCUUGAACCCCAUGCUUUCCAACCUGUAAAUGGAGCCCCUCCUUCACAGGAUGGAUGCAGGGCUCAGGCAGACGAAGUUUAUUCAUAGAGGGCAGGAUGCCUUCAAUUAGGAGAUGGCUUGGAAUGGGGUGGUUUCCCCUGCUAUCUUAAAUCUUUCAUUUCCAGUUACUGCUCGGAACGUAGGUUUCUGAGUAUCUGUCCUAAAAGUCAGUGUUCCUUUAAAGCCUUCAUCUUCCUUGCAGACUCAAUGUGGACAUUCUCAGUUUAGGAUGCGGGAACGAGCCAGGGCUUACAGCAUGUUGUGGAGGACAUGGUGGAAGGUGCUGACGGGACCCCAGCUCUGCAGGCUGCGUCUUUACAGAACACCGCCACCAGCUCUCAAAAUCAGACCUUUGGCGUGUGUCACCUAUGAAACUGACAGCCGGUCAAACAAAGAGAACACGAGAACAGUGGCUGGGCUCCACGCGUGCUCCGUGGACAUCAGGAAGAUCCGCAGACUGAAACCAUGGGUGCUUCUAGAGGCUGACACCCACGUUGAAGAGAUUGCGGACAUUCUGAAAGAACUAGGUGCCAGCAAGACUGUGGUAGCCAGCAUCUUGGAACGCUGUCCAGAAGCGAUCGUCUGCAGCCCUGCUGCGGUUAAGGCCAAAAGGGAACUCUGGCAGAUGGUCUGCAAAAGCGAAGCAGAGCUAAUCCGGUUAAUAGAGCAGUUCCCAGAGCCUUUCUUUACUGUCAAGGACCAGGAGAACCAGAAGCUCAAUGUUCAGUUCUUUCAAGAGCUGGGGCUCAAGAAUGUGGUGAUUAGCAGGUUUCUGACAGCUGCCCCUGGCAUCUUCCGUAAUCCUGUAGCGAACAACAAGCGGAUGAUAGGGUUUCUCCAGGAGAGCUACCUCAAGUUGGGCGGCUCUCCGGCCAAUGCCAAAGUGUGGCUGCUGAAGUUACUAAGCCAAAAUCCAUUCAUUGUGUUGAGUUCUCCCACGGCUGUAGACCAAAUACUAAAAUUUCUUCAAGGGCAAGGUUUCACAGACUCUCAAGUUCUUCAGCUGCUGUCCAGACUGAAAGGGUUUCUUUUUCAACUGCAGCCAGGAAGCAUCCAGAACAGUAUUUCCUUCGCUAAGACGACUUUUGAGUGCACAGACUGUGAGCUGCGGCAGUUAGUUGUGGACUGUCCUUUGCUGCUGUGUUACCCUGCCCCAGUUCUAGAAGAGAGAAUCCAGGCCCUUCUGAAGGAAGGAAUCUCCAUGGCUCAGAUAAGAGAGUCCCCAAUGGUCCUUGAGUUAACGCCACAGAUAGUUCAAUACAGGAUAAGAAAGCUGAACUCCUUGGGCUACAGAAUAAAGGAUGGCCAUCUAACAAGUCUAAACGGAACAAAAAAAGAGUUUGAAGCUAACUUUAGCAAAAUGCAAGCCAAGCAAGGAAGGCCGCUAUUUAACCCUGUGGCACCAUUAGAUGUGGAUGAGUGACGGCGAGCUUCUUUCUGGCAGGGAAAGUGACCGAUUCACAAACAAGCGAGUCAGCUUGUGAGUACUAGGGAGUCUCAGGACCUACUGAGAUUUAAGUUGUGUUCAAAUUACCUCACAACUGAUGGCCUCUGACUCAAUUGCUGCAUUUUAAAAUAUAAAAUAAAUAUAAAUUGUGUUUGAAUAAAAUCAUUGACUUGACCUAUUUCUCCAAAGCAUCACAUAGCUUGAUAGUUCAUAUGGACUGUUCGGAAGGAACUGACGAGGACACACUCUUGUUGGGAGUCCAUGCACACUGUUGGUCCCAGAGCUGCUGGCAAAGUGGAAUUCCUCACCACCAGCCCUGAGGCACCAGCAGGCCAACGACACAGGCCUUCAGAGAGAACCAGCCUCACCUGUGUGUGAAGGAGUGUCUCUACAGGUGUUGCUCAUCCAAAGGGAUGUAGUCAAGCACCUACUUCUACGAACACACACAUCCGUUAGGAACCUAACAAAGAGUCCAGAUGUAUUAAGAUCUGAAUUCUGUCCAGCCUCAGGAAUAGGAAAGAUGGCCACCUUUCCCUGCACAGUAAUGCAAUCAGGAAGGAAUGCAAUCAGACUGUGGGGAGGGGUGUGGAAACGGUCAUUUCAAACUUCAUUCGCAUCUGAAAUGAAUGCGGCUCCCUAGAAAGCAUGAAAAUCUCCCUCAUGUGGUACCACUUCCAGCUGUAGUGUUCCACUUCGUUUCUAAAUCCUGUCCCAAGAUAAACAUGACCCAGAUAAAGACUGGCUCACUUUCAGCUGUACUGCUCGUAACAACUGUAACACUCACUGGCGAUAGCACACGGCCAGCUGACUGUGGAAUGUGCACAGCUUCUGAAACAUACUGAGAAUGCAGCCAGUACCCGUUUCAUUCUCUUAGCAAAUGCAAGUAUCUCACUAUCCAAAUCUGCUCAGCUGCUUAGCUGGGAUCCUGAGUAGCCACAAGUGCUCAGGAAGUUAAGAACACUCACUGUUUACAGUGAGGCUCAGUGUAAGGCAUUACCCAUAGCGCUCAGGACUGUCAAGAAAAAUGUUAAGGCCAGAGGCAGCUUAGUGGCAGAGUGCACACUUCACCUCAGAUUCAAUCACAAGUGUGGGGACCUCCAGAGCUCCAUCCUGGCCGUGAGCAGUAAUGCAUGCACUCACCGCUCUCUCAGAGCAGGUCUGGAAUACGUUACAGGCUCUGUGGCCUUCUACAGUUACCUGCCAACUGUGAGGUGGUUGGUAACAGGCAAAUGACCAAGUGCGGAGCAGCAAGGAGCCAGCAGAGGAGAUAAAGUGAGCAGCGCCGUCUGCAUUACUGUAGCGUCUGAAGCCACAACGCAGAGCACGACAACUCAGAGGUCCGGAAACUCGAUGAUGCACACAGCGGAGUGAGCGCAAGAGCAGCCGCACCCAUGCGGUGCUCCUGUCUUCUCUCACUCCAGACAGCAGAGGUUUACAAAAUACGCAAACACCAUCACUCAGGUAACAGAUCUCUUAUUUGAAAGUUCUAAAAUUGAGCUUUUCUAAGACACAAAGCAUAAAUUCAUCUUUAGACUUUUUUAUUGUUCUACAUUCUAACUGGGAAAAUCUUACUGAUUAUUCUAACUAGUACAUUAGGCAGGAAAUAAAUGCCAGAAUUAACAGUUGGGGCUACAUGAAAUUAAAAGGUUAUUGUACAGCACAAGAAAUACUCAGAAAAGCAACAGCCUCCAGAACAGGAGAACAUCAGACAGACAACUAAUAUCCAGAUUUUGUUUUCUUAAAGUACAAAAAUCAUACACACAAAAAGCAAGAGCCAAUCAAAGUAUUUUAUAUCCUUGGCCCUCUGGAAAAUGCAAAUUAAAAUUUCUGUGAGAUACCAUUUCACCCAAGUCAGAAUGGCUACCAUCCCCACUAAUCAGGCCGAUGCAGUGGUGUAUGCCUUUAAUCCCAACACUCAGAAGGCAGAAGCAGGCUGAUAUAUACCUGCAUAUUUUUAUUUUUCUAAGUACUUAUUUUUCACAUGGACAUACAAAGUAUCAUUAUGGCAUUUGCAAACAAAAUUGGUUCUGAUUUCCCCCAUCAGCAUACAAGUUCACAACCAGCCAAGGCUACAAGAGAGACCCUGUCUCGAAAUAAGCAAACAAAAAUAAGAAACUAAUAGCUGAUGCUAGUGUGGAUGUGAGGAGAGAGAAACCUUUGUUCACUGCUUGAAGGAAUGCCAACCAGUACAGCCAUUGUGGAAAUCAGUAUGGCGGUCCCUCAAGAAGCUAAAAGAGGCCAUCCUGGGCACACAGACUCACAGGCAGCGCGCCCUAACACAGAGCCACUCACAUCCAUAUUCACUGCUUUUCUAUCUACAACAGCAAUGAAAUGGAAGCAGCCUGGAUGCCCAUCAAGAGAUGAUAUUCAAAGUGUUGUGCGUAUAUUAAGUUGUAAAAAGAUGAAAUUACAAACGUGCAGAGAUAUGAAUAGAUUUGGAAAGUAUUAUAUUAAGUGAGAUGACUCAAACUCAGAAAGAAGUAACUGCAUUUCUCUUUCAUAUUUGGAUCCCAGCUUACAGUACAUACAAAUGAGAGGAGAUGCAGAUACAAUCUAAAAACCUAAAAAGGAAAUCAAGAGGGUUAAAGAAAAAAAAGAUGCCGAGGAAAGGGGACAUGAAGGCUAAGUAACUCAUGUGACCGGAAAAACAGACACGAGAGAGGAAAAGGGAGAGUUUACAGAGGACUUGAAAUUACAUCAAUGGACACUAGAAACUUUAGCAUCAGCACUAAAGAAGAGCUGCAGUGACAGUUCAAGUAUUCCUUUGUUGUUUCUACUGUGGAACUUCAACUGAAAUUGCUAGUGAAGAGAGCUGGACAAUAACAAAAAGGAUGAAAAAAUAAGAUCCAUCCUAUGUCUAAGUAUCUGUCCUAUGUCUACAGCCUCACGGUCAACCACGUAUCCAUCCUAUGUCUACAGCUUCACGGUCAACCACGUAUCCAUCCUAUGUCUAAGUAUUCGUCCUAUGUCUACAGCCUCACUGUCUACCACGUAUCCAUCCUAUGUCUAAGUAUCCGUCCUAUGUCUACAGCCUCACUG
This is an RNA transcript of Alexandromys fortis (reed vole), 6315 nucleotides long. It is a transcript of the gene named mitochondrial transcription termination factor 2, with no coding region annotated. The transcript is spliced from 3 exons. NCBI's taxonomy places the organism in Eukaryota, Metazoa, Chordata, Mammalia, Rodentia, Cricetidae. The record is from RefSeq and is a predicted model, not a curated record.